This 328-nucleotide ribosomal RNA is filed under the name uncultured eukaryote. RNAcentral describes it as "partial 18S ribosomal RNA". It matches the Rfam family "Eukaryotic small subunit ribosomal RNA", at positions 1470 to 1796 of the family's 1831-position model. The record is from RNAcentral.
CCCUUAGAUGUCCGGGGCUGCACGCGCGCUACACUGAAGGAAUCAGCGUGCUAAAACCAUUGUCGAAAGGCAUUGGUAAACCCAUUAAAAUCCUACGUGAUUGGGAUCGGGAAUUGCAAUUAUUUCCCUUGAACGAGGAAUUCCCAGUAAGUGUGGGUCAGAAGCUCGCGUUGAUUACGUCCCUGCCCUUUGUACACACCGCCCGUCGCUGCCCGGGACUGAGCCGUUUCGAGAAAAGCGGGGACUGCUGCUGUCGGGGCUUUCGGGCCUUGGCUUCGGUGGAAACCGCUUUAAUCGCAGUGGCUUGAACCGGGCAAAANUCGUANCA